CCGACUUUAGCUCAGUUGGAAGAGCGCGAGACUGUAAUUGGUUGAAUAUCUUGAGGUCGCCUGUUCGAGCCAGGCAAGUCGGA
Molecule: transfer RNA, 83 nt
Filed under: Serpula lacrymans var. lacrymans S7.3
Lineage: Eukaryota; Fungi; Basidiomycota; Agaricomycetes; Boletales; Serpulaceae
Rfam family: tRNA
About the family: Transfer RNA (tRNA) molecules are approximately 80 nucleotides in length. Their secondary structure includes four short double-helical elements and three loops (D, anti-codon, and T loops).
Source: Rfam by way of RNAcentral